GCUCAAUGAUGAUAUAAAGGCUAAUGUGACUUGACCAGCUGGGUUGCACCCUCAGCCCAUUCCUGUAACAUGGGUCUGUAAUCUUGGUGGACAAUGCAGAGCGGUGCGUGUUCGCUGUAAGGGCAGGCCGACAGAAAAUCCCCUUCCCCGCGUCCCUGGAAAAUACGUCUUUGGGAUGCAUCAGCUCCGAGCAAGCGUUUCUCUGAGCUGACGGGGGGCUGUUGGGGAUAGGAUAGGACAGCGCGCCUGAGGUUUGGGCUGCAGGGGGUAGCCCACGUUACAGCUGGCGAGAUGUGAGCACACGUCUUUGGUAAUCUGAUGACU
Molecule: small nucleolar RNA, 324 nt
Filed under: Nipponia nippon (crested ibis)
Lineage: Eukaryota; Metazoa; Chordata; Aves; Pelecaniformes; Threskiornithidae
Source: RNAcentral